AUGGAUGGGGAGUUGCCAGAAUACGACAGUGAUGUGCAAAAUAUGUUGGAUCACUUCAUCACAAGCGAACAGGGCCACCUACCCCCGCACGAGCAUGGUGAUGAGAUGCAUGACCUGCUGGGAGCCACUACCAACAUGGGCAACACUGACGAUGCCAACGCUGCUGCUGCAGACAAAGGCAACAAUAACGAUGAAGAGACCAAUCAUGUGCAGAGAAUGGUGACAAGGCGUGCAAAUUAUAACCGUCUCCGUGGAGAACAAAUCCAACAACUUGAAGCUGUGUUCCAGAAAAGCCCUUAUCCAGAUGCAGAACUCCGGAAAGACCUUAGCGAGAGGCUUCACAUGAGUGCCCUGCAGGUCAAGUUUUGGUUCCAAAACAAACGCUCCUCUAGCAAGGGCAAGAGGCAACUACAGGACACCAAGAAUCUUCAGGGAGAGAACCAGAUGCUAAAAGAUGAAAACCAAGCCAUCAAGUGGGUCGUUGAAAACAAGACAUGCCUCAAAUGUGCAGGGGUGAGGCUAAAAACUCAGGAUACCUCGGAGCACCAACGCCUAUGUACAGAGAAUAUGAGGCUCAAGGAAGAACUCCGCCGUGCCACCGCCUAUCUUAAAGAACUCAGCAUGAGGCCCCAAUUUACCCGCGACUAA
RNAcentral lists this ribosomal RNA (648 nucleotides) under Triticum aestivum (bread wheat). RNAcentral describes it as "partial small subunit ribosomal RNA". Lineage: Eukaryota; Viridiplantae; Streptophyta; Magnoliopsida; Poales; Poaceae. The record is from RNAcentral.